RNAcentral lists this transfer RNA (117 nucleotides) under Candidatus Woesearchaeota archaeon. RNAcentral describes it as "tRNA-Leu". It matches the Rfam family "tRNA". From Rfam's summary of the family: Transfer RNA (tRNA) molecules are approximately 80 nucleotides in length. Their secondary structure includes four short double-helical elements and three loops (D, anti-codon, and T loops). Lineage: Archaea; Nanobdellati; Candidatus Woesearchaeota. The record is from RNAcentral.
GCGGGGGUAGCAAAGUCUGGUCAAAUGCGCAGGACUUAAGAUCCUGUCUCUUAGUGGGUUCGGGACAGAAAGUGUGAAAAUACUUUUUGCGGAAAAGUUCAAAUCUCCUCCCCCGCA